This 497-nucleotide ribosomal RNA is filed under the name uncultured bacterium. RNAcentral's name for it is "partial 16S ribosomal RNA". It matches the Rfam family "Bacterial small subunit ribosomal RNA", at positions 28 to 507 of the family's 1533-position model. The record is from RNAcentral.
GAUGAACGCUGGCGGCGUGCCUAAUACAUGCAAGUCGAGCGAACAGACGAGGAGCUUGCUCCUCUGACGUUAGCGGCGGACGGGUGAGUAACACGUGGAUAACCUACCUAUAAGACUGGGAUAACUUCGGGAAACCGGAGCUAAUACCGGAUAAUAUAUUGAACCGCAUGGUUCAAUAGUGAAAGACGGUUUUGCUGUCACUUAUAGAUGGAUCCGCGCCGCAUUAGCUAGUUGGUAAGGUAACGGCUUACCAAGGCAACGAUGCGUAGCCGACCUGAGAGGGUGAUCGGCCAAACUGGAACUAAGACACGGUCCAGACUCCUACGGGAGGCAGCAGUAGGGAAUCUUCCGCAAUGGGCGAAAGCCUGACGGAGCAACGCCGCGUGAGUGAUGAAGGUCUUCGAAUCGUAAAACUCUGUUAUUAGGGAAGAACAAAUGUGUAAGUAACUAUGCACGUCUUGACGGUACCUAAUCAGAGAGCCACGGCUAACUACGUG